This 70-nucleotide transfer RNA is filed under the name Trichophyton mentagrophytes. RNAcentral's name for it is "tRNA-Asp". Lineage: Eukaryota; Fungi; Ascomycota; Eurotiomycetes; Onygenales; Arthrodermataceae. The record is from RNAcentral.
GGGUUAGUAACUUAAUUGGCAAAGGAUUUUCUUGAGAAAAUAGAUAUCGGAUCGUAGCCGAUUUAACCCG